UGGGGAAUUUUGGACAAUGGGGGAAACCCUGAUCCAGCCAUCCCGCGUGUGCGAUGAAGGCCUUCGGGUUGUAAAGCACUUUUGGCAGGAAAGAAACGUCAUGGGUUAAUACCCCGUGAAACUGACGGUACCUGCAGAAUAAGCACCGGCUAACUACGUGCCAGCAGCCGCGGUAAUACGUAGGGUGCAAGCGUUAAUCGGAAUUACUGGGCGUAAAGCGUGCGCAGGCGGUUCGGAAAGAAAGAUGUGAAAUCCCAGAGCUCAACUUAGGAACUGCAUUUUUAACUACCGGGCUAGAGUGUGUCAGAGGGAGGUGGAAUUCCGCGUGUAGCAGUGAAAUGCGUAGAUAUGCGGAGGAACACCGAUGGCGAAGGCAGCCUCCUGGGAUAACACUGACGCUCAUGCACGAAAGCGUGGGGAGCAAACAGU
RNAcentral lists this ribosomal RNA (429 nucleotides) under Acidobacteriota bacterium. Its description in RNAcentral is "Acidobacteria bacterium partial 16S ribosomal RNA". It matches the Rfam family "Bacterial small subunit ribosomal RNA", at positions 355 to 776 of the family's 1533-position model. Lineage: Bacteria; Pseudomonadati; Acidobacteriota. The record is from RNAcentral.